RNAcentral lists this ribosomal RNA (253 nucleotides) under uncultured bacterium. RNAcentral's name for it is "partial 16S ribosomal RNA". It matches the Rfam family "Bacterial small subunit ribosomal RNA", at positions 524 to 776 of the family's 1533-position model. The record is from RNAcentral.
UACAGGGGGUGCAACCGUUGCUCGGAAUUAUUGGGCGUAAAGCGCGCGUAGGCGGCUACUUAAGUCGGAUGUGAAAGCCCUUGGCUCAACUGAGGAAGUGCACCCGAAACUGAGUGGCUUGAGUACUAAAGAGGGUCGCGGAAUUCCCGGUGUAGAGGUGAAAUUCGUAGAUAUCGGGAGGAACACCGGUGGCGAAGGCGGCGACCUGGGUAGAUACUGACGCUGAGGAGCGAAAGCGUGGGGAGCGAACAGG